UCCCUAGGAUGGGUCAUAUGGCAACCAAAUAGACUAUUCCACAUGUGGAAAAUCCUUCCCUGCUGCACUUCGUGAUACACAAAGAAGCUUAUUCCAGUAACACAAUUCUUCAUAAAUUCGUUUCCAUGUUGUUAAGAUCCAGUAGUAAAGUCUCAUUUCAACUUCAUUUUUGCAAAUGGAACCAUAUAUUUUUUAAUAUAAUUCGUUCAUAAUAAUUCAUCGAUCUAUCUUCGUAUUUCUUAUGAAAAAAUUAAAAGGAACUGUUAGUUCACCAGAUAUCUUAACUUGAAUUCGUCGUAUGAAAAAUAGGUAAGGGCGCGAAACAGUACUCUUGUGUUUACGUUGUCCUUGUCUUUCGUUUGUUUUAACAUAAACACAACACCGCUUCGUGUCCUAUGCUUAUCUUUCAUACGACAAAUUAAACUUAAGAUAUAAUCUAAACUAACAGCUUUUCGACAUAAAUAGGUUAAUACUUUUGUAUAUGAUAUGAAACGUUAUGAUAUCGGUUACACCACUGUUGCUUACAAAGCACGAGUUUCGACUGAUUGGUAGAUAGAAGAAAAGAAUAAUAACAAGAAAGAACCGAUUCGGAAGGACGAGCCUUUCGUUUACCUCCGAAUCUCUCAUCAAACAGGUCACGUUGUAGGAUGUGAGCAUACUUUCCGCGAUGUACUAUAAAAAUGUAGCCGAAAAAUCCGCCUGUUUCAAACCUCUUCCUUUAAUGUAUGUGUUACGACCGUUCGCGAAGAGACGCAGUCGCUAGGAAAACGCGUCAGCGAAAGGCGUAAA
Bombus impatiens (common eastern bumble bee) is the source of this 789-nucleotide long non-coding RNA. RefSeq lists it as uncharacterized. Lineage: Eukaryota; Metazoa; Arthropoda; Insecta; Hymenoptera; Apidae. The record is from RefSeq and is a predicted model, not a curated record. The transcript is spliced from 4 exons.